GAAGAAAAUGGAGAAGCAGCAAAGUGAAGUUGUGUUGUAUGGGACAUGGGCUAGUGCCUACUGCACGAGGGUGCGGUUGGCCCUUAAACUCAAGGGCAUAACCUAUGAGUACGUGGAGGAGGAUCUAACCAACAAAAGCGAGUCCCUACUUCACUACAACCCUGUCCACAAGAAGGUGCCUGUUUUGGUGCACAAAGGGAAGCCCGUGGCUGAAUCGCUUGUCAUUCUCGAGUAUAUUGACGAUUGCUGGAACAAUUCCCCCAAACUAUUGCCCGAGGAUCCUUACCAAAGAGCCAAAGUUCGUUUUUGGGCCAAUUUUUAUGAUCAGAAGAUCUUCCCAAGCUCACACGCUGUCGCCUUGUCCAAGG
RNAcentral lists this unclassified non-coding RNA (368 nucleotides) under Hevea brasiliensis (rubber tree). Lineage: Eukaryota; Viridiplantae; Streptophyta; Magnoliopsida; Malpighiales; Euphorbiaceae. The record is from RNAcentral.